GGCGCCUUGGCCGAGCGGCUAGGCAGAGGUCUGCAAAACCUUGUACGGCGGUUCGAAUCCGCCAGGCGCCUCAA
This 74-nucleotide transfer RNA is filed under the name Flavobacteriaceae bacterium. Its description in RNAcentral is "tRNA-Cys". It matches the Rfam family "tRNA". Rfam says of the family: Transfer RNA (tRNA) molecules are approximately 80 nucleotides in length. Their secondary structure includes four short double-helical elements and three loops (D, anti-codon, and T loops). Further hydrogen bonds mediate the characteristic L-shaped molecular structure. tRNAs have two regions of fundamental functional importance: the anti-codon, which is responsible for specific mRNA codon recognition, and the 3' end, to which the tRNAs corresponding amino acid is attached (by aminoacyl-tRNA synthetases). tRNAs cope with the degeneracy of the genetic code in two manners: having more than one tRNA (with a specific anti-codon) for a particular amino acid; and 'wobble' base-pairing, i.e. permitting non-standard base-pairing at the 3rd anti-codon position. The record is from RNAcentral. RNAcentral also lists the same sequence under 1 other name. Lineage: Bacteria; Pseudomonadati; Bacteroidota; Flavobacteriia; Flavobacteriales; Flavobacteriaceae.